GCCAAUCAAUGGACUUAUACCAAUCUCCAAGGAAUGAUCAUAGGAAACAACUGCCAAUAACUGGACUUACAAUUGACUCCUCACAAGAAACAAAUAACAAAUGCAAUAAGCAAGAGGAAACAAGUUGCCAACAGAUGGUCUUACACUCGACUCCAAGGAAAGGAAUGCCAAUGAAUGGUCUUAGUCCCAAAUCCCACCAGAUC
RNAcentral lists this long non-coding RNA (203 nucleotides) under Lathyrus oleraceus (garden pea). RNAcentral describes it as "Pisum sativum (pea) long non-coding RNA (PSAT_LNC021895)". The record is from RNAcentral. Lineage: Eukaryota; Viridiplantae; Streptophyta; Magnoliopsida; Fabales; Fabaceae.